CUCGUAAGGAUUUUCUGCCUCCUGCCUCCUGGACUUGCUGUAGCAAGACCAGAGAAGAGCAACGGUGAUGCAUAUUAUCAGGAGAGGAGAGGAGAGUGAGGACAAGCAGAAGAAUCUUACAGAGUAGUAAGUGCACAAAGUGCUUAUGAAUGGUUCUAAGGCGCUCUGGCAUAUGCUAUACUGGGAUCUCUCUGGCUUCUCCAAAGAGGAGGAAAACACAGCACUCUCUGAAAUGGCUAGCAAAGACUUUGAGGGAAGAGCAGGUUUUCUUCAAAGAGGAGGAAGUGUGCGUAUGUGUAGCUGUAUCUCAGGAGGAAAGUGGACAAGGAUCAGAGGUGGGAAGCCGGUGACAGAGACAUCAUUUUUGGAGGAAACAACUCAGCAUUGGAUGCUAUGUCACUGUUGGGUGGAAACGAGCUGCAUCUCCAGCCUCAUCCUGUGCUGUAGCUGUGAAGACUCGGGAGAGUUUCCCAUGAGUGACCUCUUCCACAAGCCCCUUCAUCCACCAAAUUCCAAAGACAGAGUUUGCAUGGUUGUGCUGCUAGUAUUUUCAAAUUCCACUCACUGGGUGGAGAAGGAUGGCUGCCCCUGACUUAGGCUCUUGUCCUGUAGCAGCCUGAUGCAACUCUGCUCCUCAGGAGGAUGAGUGCAGACAAUUGCCUCAAGGGUGAGAACAGUAGUUGAGGCCAGUACCUUUUCUGCAGCCUGUGCAAAAUAAAAGCUUUUUCGGAAAAGAAUCUGGACAAUUUCUGCAGUUCCCCUUGUACUCCUCCAGCAUACACAGUCAUUGGACUGGGGACAUUAGAAAAUGCAUUUCUUCCUAUUUGCUUUCAAAUCUUUUUGUGACCUUGUUGUUCAUGCAUUUGUCCUGUUGUUUAACCUGCUGAUACAAUCUGCCCCUGCAGCCUCCUAUGGCAGCAGAUUCAUUACUUGCUAUAUGGAAAAUAAAAUAAAAUAAAAUAAAAUAAAA
Molecule: long non-coding RNA, 970 nt
Filed under: Ficedula albicollis (Collared flycatcher)
Lineage: Eukaryota; Metazoa; Chordata; Aves; Passeriformes; Muscicapidae
Description: lncRNA (ENSFALG00000023428.1)
Source: RNAcentral